GAUCGUUGAGAUCUGUGUUGUAUUUUUAGCUUUAAAAUAGUUCUACAUGUAAGUUCAAGCGAAGAAUUUUAAUGAUAAAAUUUGAAAAGAAACCCUCAGUAGAAAAUAUUAGAAAUAUAAGAAUUUUUUAUCUAGGUAAUUUUAAAGAAGUGGAAAAUGGCGUGCCAGCAGCCGCGGUUAUACUCCUGCUUCAAGUUAAAAAUUUUGUACAAAACUGUGUUUAUAGAAAUACAAGGGAGUUUUUUAAAAUUAUUAGGUAGAAUUUUUAUUUUAAAAAAUAACAAUUUAUAUAAACAUAAAAAUUAUAGUUGGGACCAGGAUUAGAUACCCUGUUACUUAUAAAUAAGAAGUUUUGGAUUAGUAGUAUUAAUGAAAUUUAACGGAUUUGGCGGCAAGAUAACCAUUUAGAGGAACCUGCCCUAUAAACGAUGAACCACGAAAAUCUUACUUUUUUUAGAAAUCAGUUUGUAUACCGUUGUUGGCAGUUAGUUUCUCUAGAAAACUUUCAUUUAUGAAAUAUUCACUGACUUCAAGUAAAGGUGCAGCUUAUAGAAAAGGUAGAGGUGGGUUACAUUUAAAAGAAUAACACGGAUAAAGUUAUUGAAAUUAGCUUUUGAAGGUGGAUUUAAUUGUAAAGUUUAAUAAAACUUGAUAUGAGCUCUGUCUUGUGUACACACCGCCCGUCGCUCUCUUUUUUAAAUGAGAUAAGUCGUAACAAGGUAAGUGUAAUGGAAAUUGUACUUGA
RNAcentral lists this non-coding RNA (745 nucleotides) under Amphibalanus improvisus. The record is from RNAcentral. Lineage: Eukaryota; Metazoa; Arthropoda; Thecostraca; Balanomorpha; Balanidae.